AUGGGCUCCAGACUCCUCUGCUGUGUGACUCUCUGUCUCCUGGGAGCAGGCCUGGUGGAUUCUGAAGUCACCCAGACCCCCAAAUACCUGAUCAAAUCAAGAAAGGAGCAAGCGACUCUGAGAUGUUCCCCUGAAUCUGGACACCGUUCUGUGAACUGGUACCAACAAGCCCUGGGCCAGGGCCCCCGGUUCCUCGUUCAAUAUUACCGUGGACAACUUAGUGGAGAAGAAAACAUGCCAGAUCGAUUCUCAGCAAAACAAUUUAGUGACUUUCGCUCUGAGCUGAAUUUGAGCUCCUUGGAGCUGACAGACUCAGCCGUGUAUCUCUGUGCCAGCAGCCAAGACACAGCCUCGCAUGAUCAGGUGCCUCUGGAACAAAAACACUCCUGCCCCAGCUCAGGAAGUGGCCUUGAGGGUGUUGGCUGCCAGCCAGCCAGGCCCAGGCUCUGGUAG
Molecule: non-coding RNA, 453 nt
Organism: Budorcas taxicolor (takin)
Lineage: Eukaryota; Metazoa; Chordata; Mammalia; Artiodactyla; Bovidae
Source: the annotation of a RefSeq genome assembly